GUUUUAUACCGUACAGUAGAGUUUAUAAUGUAUAUUAUACCAUCCACCUCCUCUGUGUAUAGUAUAAGGAUAUAAGUAAAGCCCCAAGGAGAAAUUAUGCUUUUGUUCAUGGAGAGACAGUAAAGAAGAAAAUUUUUUGGAUUUUGGUUCGAACUUCCUUAAGAGGACAUAAGGACGUCCAUUGAUUGGGGAUUAAUAAACCCUUGUGCCACCUUGUGCGGUUUUCGAGGACUCUGCAAAAGGGUGUAGCAUUCAAAGUAGGAGGAUGGUGGAGGCAGGAAGAGAGGAAAGUGGGGAUCAGCAAGUUGGUAUAUGAAGGGAGCGCUAAGUCAUUCAUCAUCUGAAUAUAUAGAGGUAAGGGAAGCACAGGAGAGAGAAAUAUAGACAGAGAAGGAAAUAGAGAGCGAGAGAGAAAUAG
This is a long non-coding RNA of Leptopilina heterotoma, 418 nucleotides long. RefSeq lists it as uncharacterized. The record is from RefSeq and is a predicted model, not a curated record. NCBI's taxonomy places the organism in Eukaryota, Metazoa, Arthropoda, Insecta, Hymenoptera, Figitidae. The transcript has 3 exons.